UGGAGAAAUCAACCACUCAGCAGCUUUCCAGUCCCCAAGGCACCUGGGGCCAGAGCCAGCAGUAGGUCAGUGGUCACAAGCCUGGUUACAAAGUCGGUGACCUCCAGCUCCCUGGAGACCCUGACUGCCCCAGUUCCGGACCAGAGAGAAAAGGGGGAGAGUCACCACGCCCAGCCUCCCUUCAGGCAGACAGAUAGAUGGCCUAAUAACACAGGCUGGCCUGAAGUACCUCCUUCAGUGGAUGGAGCUCCCAUGGGACGCAGGACAGCAGCAGUGUAGAGCCUUGGGCACAGGGCUCAGGCACGGUGGAGAGUACCUGACACCAGCAUAGACGGCCUUGGCUCCCAGGCAGCACCAAUCAGCCCUUCUCCCGGAUCUUGGUGAAGUGUUGCAGUGCCGUGUAACCGCGAACAACAGCUCGCUACACUCCUGGAGAGAAGAUCCAGCACCCGCCCGGCAGUCACACCCAAGUUCAGCUGAUCCAGAUGUUUCGUACAGAGUGAGCACCUAGGCAGCUGGUGCCAGUCACCUGGCAUCGCCGUGAGAACAGUCUGCGUGCCUGCCUGGACUCUGGGGCACCUCUGGAGGGCUUAAACAAACGAGAGAGGAAGAAGGGGCUGUUACAGAGACCAAGUGAAGAAUGGGAAGGCCUGACUUAGACCUGGGACAUGCCGGUCCCACCUUUGCCUCACUCCUAUGACCGGGUGCUCAGGAUCCUGGUGUGUGUGUGUGUGUGUGUGUGUGCGCGCGCGCGCACGCGCGUGCGUGCGCGAGCACUGAGCUCUUUCUCUUUGGGCUUUUUUGUUUGUUUGUUUUAACCAAGAGAUUGCUGUGACCCAAAUCUUCACUAACACAGUAGCCACAAGCCACACGUGGCCGUUUAAGCCUAGAUAAAUCAAGAUGGAAAGGUAAGUGAACCCUGCAGUUGUAGAAGGCAUGAUUUUAACCACACAAUAGCCACAUGUGGUUAGCGGCUCCUCAAAUCAUUGCCACCAUGGCAGAAAGGCUCAGCGGACAGUGCUGGUGUGGAGGGAGCCCAGUCGGGAUCCAGAUGGUGUGGCCCACAGUGACCUCCCGUCCAGGCCAACGCCACCAUCUUCUGUGUGGGGUAGCAGCCGCACUCAGAGAGGGAAACUGCUGACAGUUUCUCUGCUCUACAGGGGCCGGUCUUCAAGGAGAGAAUAUGGGGAUGACGAGGGCUCAAAACCACCUCAGAGUGAGUCUAGCUGGCUCUGCAGGCCCCAAGAAAGAAGAGAGUGUCCCAGCAAGGAUGCCUUCAGGACUGGCCCAUGCCUGCAGGAGGAAACUAAGGGGGGGAUUUGUCAUGUGGCGUGUGGCGUGUGACUCUCACUCUGGGAAUCCCCAACAGGUGGAACCAGGAAUGCUUCUUUGCCAUUCGAUGCCUGGUGCUCCCUGGUGUCAUUGCUCAGUGUCUUGGGCCGGAGCCCAUUUACUAGGCCUCUGCCAUUGCCCACCUCAGGGCACACGCGAACCAGAGGGCGUUCUCUGCAGUUGCGAGUUAGAUCCGCCAGAGGGCGCAGGGGCAGCUGUCACUGCUACAAGCCGGCCAGGCGUUGGGGACUGCUCCACUCCAGUAGGAAUCAGCUAGACGCCCAGUGGGGGACCCUGAGCUCUUCUGCUCCCUCUUCGGGGAAGGGGAUUAGGUUAAGAGGGCAGAGGCAGCAUAAUGGCUUCCCUGGGUCUGCACGGAAGGACCUGAAGGCUAGGGAGGUAGGAGUGUGCCUGCCAGUCAAAGACACAGGUUUGGAGGCCAGAGGAGAGACAUCCAACAGUCUCUCUGUACCAUGAGGUGACAUAACAGGUGGCCGGCGUCUCAGUGCUUGUCUACCCUUCUGUUCCUAUCCUGGGCCGCUUUCCUGUCCUCAGAUGACAAGAGGGAGGUGUUUCUGAACAGCAAGUCUUUCUGCUCUAGUAAACCCAACUCGGUGGGUCCCUCUGCA
This is a long non-coding RNA of Mesocricetus auratus (golden hamster), 1961 nucleotides long. RefSeq lists it as uncharacterized. The transcript is spliced from 2 exons. NCBI's taxonomy places the organism in Eukaryota, Metazoa, Chordata, Mammalia, Rodentia, Cricetidae. The record is from RefSeq and is a predicted model, not a curated record.